RNAcentral lists this ribosomal RNA (253 nucleotides) under uncultured bacterium. RNAcentral describes it as "partial 16S ribosomal RNA". It matches the Rfam family "Bacterial small subunit ribosomal RNA", at positions 524 to 776 of the family's 1533-position model. The record is from RNAcentral.
UACGAGAGGCCCAAACGUUAUUCGGAAUUACUGGGCUUAAAGAGUUCGUAGGCGGCAUGACAAGUCGGGUGUGAAAGCCCUCGGCUCAACCGAGGAAUUGCGCUCUAAACUGUCGUGCUAGAGGAACCUAGAGGUGAGCAGAACUGAUGGUGGAGCGGUGAAAUGCGUAGAUAUCUGGAGGAACACCGGUGGCGAAGGCGGCAUCCUGGACCGGCAUUGACGCUGAGGCGCGAAAGCCAGGGGAGCAAACGGG